ACCGGUUUCGACUGGAGCGCGUCCGCCAAAGACCUAACCAAAACUCAUGUUGUCUUUGUCGUCUCAGCUUUAUUAUUGAAUUGAUAAAACUUUCAACAACGGAUCUCUUGGCUCUGGCAUCGAUGAAGAACGCAGCGAAAUGCGAUAAGUAAUGUGAAU
This 159-nucleotide ribosomal RNA is filed under the name Erysiphe neolycopersici. RNAcentral describes it as "Oidium neolycopersici 5.8S ribosomal RNA". The stretch from base 88 to 159 matches the Rfam family "5.8S ribosomal RNA", at positions 1 to 72 of the family's 154-position model. The record is from RNAcentral. Lineage: Eukaryota; Fungi; Ascomycota; Leotiomycetes; Helotiales; Erysiphaceae.